CUACUCACUCCAGCAUCACAUAUACUAAAACUGGAAGGAUACAGAGAAGAUGAACACAUCCUCUGCAUGAGGAUGACCUAAAAAUUGACAAUAUUCCAUAUUGAA
This 105-nucleotide small nuclear RNA is filed under the name Neotoma lepida (desert woodrat). The record is from RNAcentral. Lineage: Eukaryota; Metazoa; Chordata; Mammalia; Rodentia; Cricetidae.